AACAUUAAGACUGAGACCUCCAA
Molecule: non-coding RNA, 23 nt
Filed under: Cricetulus griseus (Chinese hamster)
Lineage: Eukaryota; Metazoa; Chordata; Mammalia; Rodentia; Cricetidae
Source: RNAcentral